RNAcentral lists this ribosomal RNA (406 nucleotides) under uncultured bacterium. RNAcentral describes it as "bacterial SSU rRNA". It matches the Rfam family "Bacterial small subunit ribosomal RNA", at positions 356 to 774 of the family's 1533-position model. The record is from RNAcentral.
GGGGAAUAUUGCACAAUGGGCGCAAGCCUGAUGCAGCAACGCCGCGUGAGGGACGACGGCCUUCGGGUUGUAAACCUCUUUUGGCAGGGAAGAAGCGAAAGUGACGGUACCUGCAGAAAAAGCACCGGCUAACUACGUGCCAGCAGCCGCGGUGAUACGUAGGGUGCAAGCGUUGUCCGGAAUUAUUGGGCGUAAAGAGCUCGUAGGCGGUUUGUCGCGUCUGCUGUGAAAACCCGAGGCUCAACCUCGGGCCUGCAGUGGGUACGGGCAAACUAGAGUGCGGUAGGGGAGAUUGGAAUUCCUGGUGUAGCGGUGGAAUGCGCAGAUAUCAGGAGGAACACCGAUGGCGAAGGCAGAUCUCUGGGCCGUAACUGACGCUGAGGAGCGAAAGCAUGGGGAGCGAACA